GAUAAACGCUGGCGGCGUGCUUAACACAUGCAAGUCGAACGAAGUUUUUCCUUCGGGAGAAACUUAGUGGCGGACGGGUGAGUAACGCGUGGGUAACCUGCCCUGUACAGGGGGACAACAGCUGGAAACGGCUGCUAAUACCGCAUAAGCACUUAGCACUGCAUGGUGCAUAGGGAAAAGGAGCAAUCCGGUACAGGAUGGACCCGCGUCUGAUUAGCCAGUUGGCAGGGUAACGGCCUACCAAAGCGACGAUCAGUAGCCGAUCUGAGAGGAUGUACGGCCACAUUGGGACUGAGACACGGCCCAGACUCCUACGGGAGGCAGCAGUGGGGAAUAUUGCACAAUGGAGGAAACUCUGAUGCAGCGACGCCGCGUGAGUGAAGAAGUAUUUCGGUAUGUAAAGCUCUAUCAGCAGGGAAGAAAAUGACGGUACCUGACUAAGAAGCACCGGCUAAAUACGUA
This 462-nucleotide ribosomal RNA is filed under the name uncultured bacterium. RNAcentral describes it as "partial 16S ribosomal RNA". It matches the Rfam family "Bacterial small subunit ribosomal RNA", at positions 28 to 507 of the family's 1533-position model. The record is from RNAcentral.